ACUCCACGCAGAACACAGCGCAGAGUCCUUUAAAGGAAGGCCAAAAGCAACCCAACAAAAAUGCCAGGUGAUCAAAGCCCUCACAACACAAUGUCCACAUCCAACGAGAAAUUGCUGCUACGUCCAGACACAGGGAAAGGUGGCCGUGGGAAUGUGAGUCAGCAGCAACAGGCCCAGAAGGGCAGCCAUGGUGGAGUUGUCAGACAUGGACCCUGAAAUGACAAUUACAGCGUGAUUUCAGGCAGGAGCCUGAAAUGGUACAACUUUGGACAUCGGUUUGGCAAAUUCUUUGAGAGAGAAACACACACCUUCCCUAGGACCCGGCAACUCCACUCCUAGUAACCAAGUGAAAUGGAAGGAGUUGUCCUCAGUAAAACGUGUGUGCGGAAGUUCACACUCACUUCCUCUGUGAUAACCAAGAGCUGAAACCACUGCAACACCCACCAGCAGGUGAACGGAUGAACACACUGGGCUACGGCCACACAAUGAGAUGCUACGUGGCAACACAAAAUGAACCGUGGACACACACUGCAUGGUGGAUGAAUGUGCAGACAUCAGGCCCCGUGAAGGGAGCCAGGCCCCGAGGCGCCACGCUUUGUGAUUCAGAGAAGAAAGCACGCAGCCAAACAGUGUAAAGAGGCUCAGAGGAGGCCUGGGUGCCCUGGAGAGGCCCUGCGUCGCACAGCAUCCCUGUCCUGCAGUGGAGGUUUCCCAGAUGAAGGGGUCCCCGGCGGGAGACAGGGCCCUGCACACAGGUCCUCUGCCACGCUGCUCACCAUGCUGUGCGUUAUCUCACUAUG
This 800-nucleotide non-coding RNA is filed under the name Pongo abelii (Sumatran orangutan). The record is from RNAcentral. Lineage: Eukaryota; Metazoa; Chordata; Mammalia; Primates; Hominidae.